ACUCCUACGGGAGGCAGCAGUGGGGAAUCUUGCGCAAUGCGCGAAAGCGUGACGCAGCAACGCCGCGUGGGGGAAGACGGCCUUCGGGUUGUAAACCCCUUUCAGGAGGGACGAAGGUUCGGCGGUUAAUAGCCGUCCGGACUGACGGUACCUCCAGAAGAAGCCCCGGCUAACUACGUGCCAGCAGCCGCGGUAAUACGAAGGGGGCUAGCGUUGUUCGGAAUCACUGGGCGUAAAGGGCGCGUAGGCGGCCGAUCAAGUCGGGGGUGAAAGCCUGUGGCUCAACCACAGAAUGGCCUUCGAUACUGUUUGGCUUGAGACCGGAAGAGGUCAGUGGAACUGCGAGUGUAGAGGUGAAAUUCGUAGAUAUUCGCAAGAACACCAGUGGCGAAGGCGGCUGACUGGUCCGGUUCUGACGCUGAGGCGCGAAAGCGUGGGGAGCAAACAGGAUUAGAUACCCUGGUAG
This 466-nucleotide ribosomal RNA is filed under the name uncultured bacterium. RNAcentral describes it as "bacterial SSU rRNA". It matches the Rfam family "Bacterial small subunit ribosomal RNA", at positions 335 to 793 of the family's 1533-position model. The record is from RNAcentral.